UAGUAGACGUGAUAGCACACUGAAGCAGGGGAGAGGGGAGAGGUGCAUGAGAAGGGAGUGAGCAAAUAUUAUCAAAAGCAGUGGAGGAAGAGGACUGAGAAAAGUCCACUAGAUUAAGACGAUUGUGAAGGAGAAAUACAAGCCAAAGCAGCAUGCAAUUUAACUUUAAAUUAUAACACCCAGUAUGGUCUAUAGUCUGCAAAUCUACAGCUGUGGGAAAGAAAAGUAUCAGCCUUUUGAAGGUCAACUGCCAAUGCAUUUGAAAAGCCAGAAUUCUCAUUUUAGGGAUUUCUCUAUGGAAAAAGAAGAAAUAGGACAUUCAGUGCAGCACUGUUUAUGAGAGAAACCUUACCGCAGGAGUUAAGAACACUCACUCUAGAGCCAGACAACCUGAGACCUGAGGAUUGUGCACAACCUGCUUUGACACUGGUGCACCACACUGGCCCUAAGGUUUCCUUCCACCCAGAUCAUAAAAGGGAUGUUGUGCUGUUCUCAAGCUUUCCUAAUUUGAAUGUGCCAUCUGUUUCCUGCUUGGACCCUGACUGAUUGAAAAGGUGUCUAGUCUUCGAUUUAUAGGUUGAAGUCCAAGCAAGAGAAAGGAAAUGCUUUUACCCUUCAAGUGCCUUCCUCUUUAAAUGUGAAAGAUUAUAUGAAACUUUAUUAGAGACCAAAUGGAAGUUUUCUGUCCUCUCUCCCCUUUUUCAACAAUUUUCUUCAUGGGUCUGUGUUUCAGAUUAGAUAAUUACGGCACUGCAUCCAAAUCCUG
Molecule: long non-coding RNA, 766 nt
Organism: Canis lupus familiaris (dog)
Lineage: Eukaryota; Metazoa; Chordata; Mammalia; Carnivora; Canidae
Exons: 4
Source: RefSeq, a predicted model, not a curated record